AUUAGAGACCGGCGCACGGGUGCGUAACGCGUAUGCAAUCUACCUUUUACAGAGGGAUAGCCCAGAGAAAUUUGGAUUAAUACCUCAUAGUAUAAUGACUUGGCAUCAAGACAUUAUUAAAGUCACAACGGUAAAAGAUGAGCAUGCGUCCCAUUAGCUAGUUGGUAAGGUAACGGCUUACCAAGGCUACGAUGGGUAGGGGUCCUGAGAGGGAGAUCCCCCACACUGGUACUGAGACACGGACCAGACUCCUACGGGAGGCAGCAGUGAGGAAUAUUGGACAAUGGGCGCAAGCCUGAUCCAGCCAUGCCGCGUGCAGGAUGACGGUCCUAUGGAUUGUAAACUGCUUUUAUACGAGAAGAAACACUACUUCGUGAAGUAGCUUGACGGUAUCGUAAGAAUAAGGAUCGGCUAACUCCGUGCCAGCAGCCGCGGUAAUACGGAGGAUCCAAGCGUUAUCCGGAAUCAUUGGGUUUAAAGGGUCCGUAGGCGGUUUAGUAAGUCAGUGGUGAAAGCCCAUCGCUCAACGGUGGAACGGCCAUUGAUACUGCUGAACUUGAAUUAUUAGGAAGUAACUAGAAUAUGUAGUGUAGCGGUGAAAUGCUUAGAGAUUACAUGGAAUACCAAUUGCGAAGGCAGGUUACUACUAAUUGAUUGACGCUGAUGGACGAAAGCGUGGGUAGCGAACAGGAUUAGAUACCCUGGUAGUCCACGCCGUAAACGAUGGAUACUAGCUGUUGGGAGCAAUCUCAGUGGCUAAGCGAAAGUGAUAAGUAUCCCACCUGGGGAGUACGUUCGCAAGAAUGAAACUCAAAGGAAUUGACGGGGGCCCGCACAAGCGGUGGAGCAUGUGGUUUAAUUCGAUGAUACGCGAGGAACCUUACCA
Molecule: ribosomal RNA, 886 nt
Filed under: bacterium
Lineage: Bacteria
Description: bacterial SSU rRNA
Rfam family: Bacterial small subunit ribosomal RNA
Source: RNAcentral